UUACCGUCGGAGUAGCAGUUACACCGCGUCAAUCAAUCAUAACGGACACAGAGAUUUCAAAGGCAGCAGGAUGAAAGAUAUGUGUCUGUGUUCAUCAAGACAUGAAGACUAUGGAGUGGGACAAGAGAAGGAUGAUGGGGUGUAUAUUCCAAUAGACACAUUAAGUGAAAGCUGAUAAAUACAGAGGGCUGGACAGUGGUUUCAUUCAUUAGGUAAAGAGGUGGGACAAGGAUGCUGACAGGACAGGAGGAGGUGACAUUCAGGUUAGUGACAGUACAUCAGGGCCACCAUUUAAUUUAAUGUUAAUUUAAUUGCUUCCAAAAUCAAUACUUGACAAAUCUUUAGAAUUAUAUCUGCAAAGCUGAAUUUGUCAUAGGUGGAUAAAGUAUGACAGCAAUUGUGAAGACCUUAGACGUGCAGUAUAUUGUUCUUCUCUCUUUCAUU
This is a long non-coding RNA of Paramisgurnus dabryanus, 444 nucleotides long. RefSeq lists it as uncharacterized. The record is from RefSeq and is a predicted model, not a curated record. NCBI's taxonomy places the organism in Eukaryota, Metazoa, Chordata, Actinopteri, Cypriniformes, Cobitidae.